RNAcentral lists this ribosomal RNA (508 nucleotides) under uncultured Desulfobulbus sp. RNAcentral's name for it is "bacterial SSU rRNA". It matches the Rfam family "Bacterial small subunit ribosomal RNA", at positions 903 to 1382 of the family's 1533-position model. The record is from RNAcentral. Lineage: Bacteria; Pseudomonadati; Thermodesulfobacteriota; Desulfobulbia; Desulfobulbales; Desulfobulbaceae.
CCUUGCCAGCCCGCUCAAGAACUUAAAUGAAUUGACGGGGCCCGCACAAGCGGUGGAGUAUGUGGUUUAAUUCGAUGCAACGCGAAGAACCUUACCUGGUCUUGACAUCCCGGAGACCCUUAGGAAACUAGGGGGUGCUUCCAUCUGGAAGAAUCUGGAGACAGGUGCUGCAUGGCUGUCGUCAGCUCGUGUCGUGAGAUGUUGGGUUAAGUCCCGCAACGAGCGCAACCCUUGCCUUUAGUUGCCAGCAGUUCGGCUGGGCACUCUAAAGGGACUGCCGGUGUUAAACCGGAGGAAGGUGGGGAUGACGUCAAGUCCUCAUGGCCUUUAUGACCAGGGCUACACACGUACUACAAUGGCCGAUACAAAGGGCAGCGACACUGCGAGGUGAAGCCAAUCCCGUAAAAUCGGUCUCAGUCCGGAUUGGAGUCUGCAACUCGACUCCAUGAAGUUGGAAUCGCUAGUAAUCGUGGAUCAGCAUGCCACGGUGAAUACGUUCCCGGGCCUU